AUUGAACGCUGGCGGCAGGCCUAACACAUGCAAGUCGAGCGGAUGAGAGGAGCUUGCUCCUCGAUUCAGCGGCGGACGGGUGAGUAAUGCCUAGGAAUCUGCCCAGUAGUGGGGGACAACGUUUCGAAAGGAACGCUAAUACCGCAUACGUCCUACGGGAGAAAGUGGGGGAUCUUCGGACCUCACGCUAUUGGAUGAGCCUAGGUCGGAUUAGCUAGUUGGUAGGGUAAAGGCCUACCAAGGCGACGAUCCGUAACUGGUCUGAGAGGAUGAUCAGUAACACUGGAACUGCGACACGGUCCAGACUCCUACGGGAGGCAGCAGUGGGGAAUAUUGGACAAUGGGCGCAAGCCUGAGCCAGCCAUGCCGGGUGUGUGAAGAAGGCCCUCGGGUCGUAAAGCACUUUAAGUUGGGAGGAAGUGCUUACAGCGAAUACCUAUGAGUUUUGACGUUACCGACAGAAUAAGCACCGGCUAACUUCGUGCCAGCCGCCGCAGUAA
This 500-nucleotide ribosomal RNA is filed under the name uncultured bacterium. RNAcentral's name for it is "partial 16S ribosomal RNA". It matches the Rfam family "Bacterial small subunit ribosomal RNA", at positions 30 to 523 of the family's 1533-position model. The record is from RNAcentral.